This 500-nucleotide ribosomal RNA is filed under the name uncultured bacterium. RNAcentral describes it as "partial 16S ribosomal RNA". It matches the Rfam family "Bacterial small subunit ribosomal RNA", at positions 28 to 507 of the family's 1533-position model. The record is from RNAcentral.
GACGAACGCUGGCGGCGCGCUUAACACAUGCAAGUCGAACGGAAAGGCCUGCGUUCCCUUGUGGAUUGCGGGUACUCGAGUGGCGAACGGGUGAGGAACACGGGAGUGAUCUGCCCCCAACUUGGGUAUAAGCCUGGGAAACUGGGUCUAAUUCCCGAUAGUGCUGCAGGGGGGUGCCUGUGGUGGAAAACGAUGUUCUAGUGGUUGGGGAUGAGCUGGCGGCCUAUCAGCUUGUUGGUGGGGGAAGGGCCUACCAAGGCGGCGACGGGUAGCUGGACUGAGAGGACGACCAGCAACACGGGGAGGGAGACACGGCCAAGACGCCUACGGGAGGCAGCAGUGGGGAAGUCUGGACAAGGGGGGAAAGCCUGAUCCAGCAAUGCCGCGUGUGUGAAGAAGGCCUUCGGGUUGUAAAGCACUGUUGUCAGGAAAGAAAGCCUUGACUCUAAUACAGUCGGGGGAUGACGGUACCGGAAGAAUAAGCACCGGCUAACUACGUG